CUUCAAGGACCCGAGCCACAGAGGAUGGUCGGCGUCACGGUCCUUGCCGUAGGUGGCGAGCAGCGCCUGCGCCUC
Molecule: antisense RNA, 75 nt
Filed under: Streptomyces pseudogriseolus
Lineage: Bacteria; Bacillati; Actinomycetota; Actinomycetes; Kitasatosporales; Streptomycetaceae
Also listed under: 1 other name
Description: ASpks TB sRNA
Rfam family: ASpks TB sRNA
Source: RNAcentral